GAUGAACGCUGGCGGCGUGCCUAAUACAUGCAAGUCGAGCGAACGGACGAGAAGCUUGCUUCUCUGAUGUUAGCGGCGGACGGGUGAGUAACACGUGGAUAACCUACCUAUAAGACUGGGAUAACUUCGGGAAACCGGAGCUAAUACCGGAUAAUAUUUUGAACCGCAUGGUUCAAAAGUGAAAGACGGUCUUGCUGUCACUUAUAGAUGGAUCCGCGCUGCAUUAGCUAGUUGGUAAGGUAACGGCUUACCAAGGCAACGAUGCAUAGCCGACCUGAGAGGGUGAUCGGCCACACUGGAACUGAGACACGGUCCAGACUCCUACGGGAGGCAGCAGUAGGGAAUCUUACGCAAUGGGCGAAAGCCUGACGGAGCAACGCCGCGUGAGUGAUGAAGGUCUUCGGAUCGUAAAACUCUGUUAUUAGGGAAGAACAUAUGUGUAAGUAACUGUGCACAUCUUGACGGUACCUAAUCAGAAAGCCGCGGCUAACUACGUG
This 497-nucleotide ribosomal RNA is filed under the name uncultured bacterium. RNAcentral describes it as "partial 16S ribosomal RNA". It matches the Rfam family "Bacterial small subunit ribosomal RNA", at positions 28 to 507 of the family's 1533-position model. The record is from RNAcentral.